This 253-nucleotide ribosomal RNA is filed under the name uncultured bacterium. RNAcentral's name for it is "partial 16S ribosomal RNA". It matches the Rfam family "Bacterial small subunit ribosomal RNA", at positions 524 to 776 of the family's 1533-position model. The record is from RNAcentral.
UACGUAGGGUGCGAGCGUUGUCCGGAAUUACUGGGCGUAAAGAGCUCGUAGGUGGUUUGUCGCGUUGUCCGUGAAAACUCACAACUCAAUUGUGGGCGUGCGGGCGAUACGGGCAGGCUCGAGUUCGGUAGGGGAGACUGGAAUUCCUGGUGUAGCGGUGAAAUGCGCAGAUAUCAGGAGGAACACCGGUGGCGAAGGCGGGUCUCUGGUCCAGUACUGACACUCAAGUGCGAAAGCGUGGGGAGCAAACAGG